GAUGAACGCUGGCGGCGUGCUUAACACAUGCAAGUCGAACGGAAAGGCUCCUGCUUGCAGGGGUACUCGAGUGGCGAACGGGUGAGUAACACGUGGGUGAUCUGCCCUGCACUUCGGGAUAAGCCUGGGAAACUGGGUCUAAUACCGGAUAGGACCACAUUUUGGAUGGUGUGGUGGAAAGUUUUUCGGUGUGGGAUGAGCUCGCGGCCUAUCAGCUUGUUGGUGGGGUAAUGGCCUACCAAGGCGUCGACGGGUAGCCGGCCUGAGAGGGUGUACGGCCACAUUGGGACUGAGAUACGGCCCAGACUCCUACGGGAGGCAGCAGUGGGGAAUAUUGCACAAUGGGCGCAAGCCUGAUGCAGCGACGCCGCGUGGGGGAUGACGGCCUUCGGGUUGCAAACUCCUUUCGCUAGGGACGAAGCGCAAGUGACGGUACCUGGAGAAGAAGCACCGGCUAACUACGUG
This 465-nucleotide ribosomal RNA is filed under the name uncultured bacterium. Its description in RNAcentral is "partial 16S ribosomal RNA". It matches the Rfam family "Bacterial small subunit ribosomal RNA", at positions 28 to 507 of the family's 1533-position model. The record is from RNAcentral.